Molecule: ribosomal RNA, 502 nt
Filed under: uncultured Gram-positive bacterium
Lineage: Bacteria
Description: bacterial SSU rRNA
Rfam family: Bacterial small subunit ribosomal RNA
Source: RNAcentral
AGAGUUUGAUCCUGGCUCAGGACGAACGCUGGCGGCGCGCCUAACACAUGCAAGUCGAACGGAGUCAAGAGGAGCUUGCUUUUCUUGACUUAGUGGCGAACGGGUGAGUAACGCGUGAGUAACCUGCCCUGGAGUGGGGGACAACAGUUGGAAACGACUGCUAAUACCGCAUAAGCCCACGGAUCCGCAUGGAUCUGCGGGAAAAGGAUUUAUUCGCUUCAGGAUGGACUCGCGUCCAAUUAGCUAGUUGGUGAGGUAACGGCCCACCAAGGCGACGAUUGGUAGCCGGACUGAGAGGUUGAACGGCCACAUUGGGACUGAGACACGGCCCAGACUCCUACGGGAGGCAGCAGUGGGGGAUAUUGCACAAUGGGGGAAACCCUGAUGCAGCGACGCCGCGUGGAGGAAGAAGGUUUUCGGAUUGUAAACUCCUGUCGUUAGGGACGAUAAUGACGGUACCUAACAAGAAAGCACCGGCUAACUACGUGCCAGCAGCCGCGGU